UGGGGAAUAUUGCACAAUGGGCGCAAGCCUGAUGCAGCCAUGCCGCGUGUAUGAAGAAGGCCUUCGGGUUGUAAAGUACUUUCAGCGGGGAGGAAGGCGAUAAGGUUAAUAACCUUGUCGAUUGACGUUACCAGCAGAAGAAGCACCGGCUAACUCCGUGCCAGCAGCCGCGGUAAUACGGAGGGUGCAAGCGUUAAUCGGAAUUACUGGGCGUAAAGCGCACGCAGGCGGUCUGUCAAGUCGGAUGUGAAAUCCCCGGGCUCAACCUGGGAACUCCAUUCGAAACUGGCAGGCUAGAGUCUUGUAGAGGGGGGUAGAAUUCCAGGUGUAGCGGUGAAAUGCGUAGAGAUCUGGAGGAAUACCGGUGGCGAAGGCGGCCCCCUGGACAAAGACUGACGCUCAGGUGCGAAAGCGUGGGGAGCAAACA
Molecule: ribosomal RNA, 427 nt
Filed under: uncultured bacterium
Lineage: Bacteria
Description: partial 16S ribosomal RNA
Rfam family: Bacterial small subunit ribosomal RNA
Source: RNAcentral